RNAcentral lists this long non-coding RNA (867 nucleotides) under Gossypium raimondii (Peruvian cotton). RNAcentral's name for it is "long non-coding RNA (GRAI_LNC000846)". The record is from RNAcentral. Lineage: Eukaryota; Viridiplantae; Streptophyta; Magnoliopsida; Malvales; Malvaceae.
CAAUACCCAGUUCAAAUUCAUUUUUCUUUUUCCUCUCUUUAGUACCAAAAGUUCAGAUCUUAGAAUUGAUACGACAUACACUUUUUUCCAUGCACUCCAUUUUAAGCAUCAGUCAUGGUCUUACAAACUCUAUUAAUGGUAUGAUCCAAUCCCUUCUCUUCAAACUAACAUGUAAAAGACAUGAAGAUUCUUCAUUUUCUGCUUUCUGGUAACCAUAACUGCACACACAAUCUUAGAGCAGCAACUGACUAACUAAAAACCAGUUUCUGUAUGUUUUUCUAUGAAAUUUGUUCAAAAUAAUCCAUAAUCCUGGUUUUCAUUCAAUUAUGUUUGUUUCAUGACCGUGUUUUAUUGAUGUUUAUACACUCAUCUUUUCUUGGGUAGUCUGCAAACCUUAAGCAAGAAAAGAACCAGGGGGACUAUUGGAAGAGUGUAAUAAAGGAUCAAACCAUGCUAGAAGCAAUCAAAUGCCUUUUUCAUGAACAUCUGGAUUCAGUUUUUAAUUCUGAGAAUAAAAUGAAGCACUUUGUCAAUGAUUUCAACAGCAGAAAAAGCCUUAUUAACAUACCACAGCAGACCCAAGUACAAAGAAGAAUAUAGCACCUAUGUUAAGGACUUUAAGAAUCAGAAGCAAACAUAAAUUGACAGAAAAAGGAAAAAGCUUGAAUUCAUGGAGUUCAUACUUGUAUUAGUACUUUUUCAGUUUUGCUAUUAAACUAUUUCGAUUUUUAAGAGAAUUUGCAGAUAAGAAGACCGUAGCUACUGAGGAAAACUUGCUGUUUAAUUCUAGAUAAAGCUAAUUCAAACACAUUGAUUCCAUCACUGUUAAACAAAGCCCUAUUGCUUGGGACAUUCACCUCAAACUAG